CUCGUAGGCGGCCAACUAAGUCGGACGUGAAAUCCCUCAGCUUAACUGGGGAACUGCGUCUGAUACUGGAUGGCUUGGAUUUGGGAGAGGGAUGCGGAAUUCCAGGUGUAGCGGUGAAAUGCGCAGAUAUCAGGAAGAACACCUAUGGCGAAGGCAGCUCUCUGGGACGGUACUGACGCUGAGACGCGAAAGCGUGGGGAGCGAAC
RNAcentral lists this ribosomal RNA (206 nucleotides) under uncultured bacterium. RNAcentral describes it as "partial 16S ribosomal RNA". It matches the Rfam family "Bacterial small subunit ribosomal RNA", at positions 568 to 773 of the family's 1533-position model. The record is from RNAcentral.